UACAGAGGGUGCGAGCGUUAAUCGGAAUUACUGGGCGUAAAGCGUGCGUAGACGGUUAUUUAAGUCGGAUGUGAAAGCCCCGGGCUCAACCUGGGAAUUGCAUUCGAGACUGAAUAGCUAGGGUACGGUAGAGGGAAGCGGAAUUUCCGGUGUAGCGGUGAAAUGCGUAGAUAUCGGAAGGAACAUCAGUGGCGAAAGCGGCUGCCUGGACCAGUACCGACGUUCAGGCACGAAAGCGUGGGGAGCAAACAGG
This 253-nucleotide ribosomal RNA is filed under the name uncultured bacterium. RNAcentral describes it as "partial 16S ribosomal RNA". It matches the Rfam family "Bacterial small subunit ribosomal RNA", at positions 524 to 776 of the family's 1533-position model. The record is from RNAcentral.